RNAcentral lists this unclassified non-coding RNA (277 nucleotides) under sea anemone metagenome. Its description in RNAcentral is "partial contains small subunit ribosomal RNA and internal transcribed spacer 1". The stretch from base 1 to 154 matches the Rfam family "Eukaryotic small subunit ribosomal RNA", at positions 1678 to 1831 of the family's 1831-position model. The record is from RNAcentral.
GCACCUACCGAUUGAAUGGUCCGGUGAAGCCUCGGGAUUGUGGCGAGUUCCCUUCAUUGGGAGUUUGUCGCGAGAACUUGUCUAAACCUUAUCAUUUAGAGGAAGGUGAAGUCGUAACAAGGUUUCCGUAGGUGAACCUGCAGAAGGAUCAAGAAAGGACGAAAGUCGGGUGGGGAGAGAAUGUAGAUCUCUGUGGGUGCCCGACCAUUAAAAAAAAAAAAAAAAAAAACCACACAGAACACAGCAGCACCGCUGCGCACAUCAGUCACCGACGCCC